AUUCCGCGGUUGUUAAACCUGCUUCGGAGAGCUCGUUUUCGAUUUCCUUGCGGCGUGCGCUCCAGAAGUGUCGUAAGCGCUUGUCGGCAUCCCGUUCGUGGGGUGGCGGCACGAUUUCGAAGGUACCGUUGGGCCCGAUGUCGCCGAUGCAGUAACCGAGCUUCUGCAAUUCUGUCGCACAGGCCAAGUGCUGAAUUGCUCCCCAUGAUUUGGCGCCGUGAUAGAGCGGCUGGCCGUCCAACGAGCGAGUGAGAUACCGCAG
Molecule: unclassified non-coding RNA, 262 nt
Filed under: Hevea brasiliensis (rubber tree)
Lineage: Eukaryota; Viridiplantae; Streptophyta; Magnoliopsida; Malpighiales; Euphorbiaceae
Source: RNAcentral